This 66-nucleotide transfer RNA is filed under the name bovine gut metagenome. It matches the Rfam family "tRNA", at positions 6 to 65 of the family's 71-position model. From Rfam's summary of the family: Transfer RNA (tRNA) molecules are approximately 80 nucleotides in length. Their secondary structure includes four short double-helical elements and three loops (D, anti-codon, and T loops). The record is from RNAcentral.
CUUAGCUCAGCGGUUAGAGCAGCGGACUCAUAAUCCGUGGGUCGCAGGUUCAAAUCCUGCAGGGGC